UCUACGGGGGGCUGCAGUGGGGAAUAUUGGACAAUGGGCGAAAGCCUGAUCCAGCCAUGCCGCGUGUGUGAAGAAGGCCUUCGGGUUGUAAAGCACUUUCAGUGGGGAAGAAAGCCUUGGGGCUAAUACCCUCGAGGAAGGACAUCACCCACAGAAGAAGCACCGGCUACACUCCGUGCCAGCAGCCGCGGUAAUACGGAGGGUGCGAGCGUUAAUCGGAAUUACUGGGCGUAAAGCGCGCGUAGGCGGUCUGAUAAGCCGGUUGUGAAAGCCCCGGGCUCAACCUGGGAACGGCAUCCGGAACUGUCAGGCUAGAGUGCAGGAGAGGAAGGUAGAAUUCCCGGUGUAGCGGUGAAAUGCGUAGAGAUCGGGAGGAAUACCAGUGGCGAAGGCGGCCUUCUGGACUGACACUGACGCUGAGGUGCGAAAGCGUGGGUAGCAAACAGGAUUAGAUACCCGGGUAGUC
RNAcentral lists this ribosomal RNA (466 nucleotides) under Vreelandella stevensii. RNAcentral's name for it is "partial 16S ribosomal RNA". It matches the Rfam family "Bacterial small subunit ribosomal RNA", at positions 338 to 795 of the family's 1533-position model. Lineage: Bacteria; Pseudomonadati; Pseudomonadota; Gammaproteobacteria; Oceanospirillales; Halomonadaceae. The record is from RNAcentral.